GAAAUCAUAAAACCAUUAAUAGUGGUAAUAUGAUAACGUAAGGAAAAAAAAUGAUAUUACCUUACUAUUAGUGUUGUCCAAAGCUGGUGCCAGAAGACUCGGUAAGACCAGAGACGCAAACGUUAAUCGUCCUAAUCAGGCGUAAAGGGUAUGUAGGCUGCUUUUAAAGUUUUAUUUAAAAUAGCUCUACUUUUACAUCUUUUUUUUUCCUGCUCUACAUUUUAAUCUUUUAAUUAUAAUUAUAAAUUUAAACAAAUUUAAAUUAAAAAAGAUCCAAGAUUGAGCUAAGAAAAGAAAAUAUUUUUAAUAGAUAAAAUAAAAUGAUUAAAAGCUAGGAUCAUAAAGAGGAUAAACCAAAUAAUACUUAGUGUAGGGUUGAUAUCUGUAGAUACUAAGGGGAAUACUAACGGUGAAAGCUUUUUAUCUAAUAAUGAUUGACGCUGAGAAACGAAGGUGAGAAUAGGAAAUAGGAUUAGAUACCCAGAUACCUCUCACUGUAAACGAUGAAUGGUGGUUGUUAGUAAUAAUAAAACUGAUAACGAUGUUAACACGAUAACCAUUCCGCCUUGCGAGUACGGUUGCAAAACUGAAACCAAAAAAAUUAGUCGGUCUCGAAGCAAACGAAGUGAAGCAUGUUAUUUA
This 642-nucleotide ribosomal RNA is filed under the name Rhodocybe caelata. RNAcentral describes it as "partial 12S ribosomal RNA". It matches the Rfam family "Bacterial small subunit ribosomal RNA", at positions 419 to 948 of the family's 1533-position model. The record is from RNAcentral. Lineage: Eukaryota; Fungi; Basidiomycota; Agaricomycetes; Agaricales; Entolomataceae.